GACGAACGCUGGCGGCGUGCUUAACACAUGCAAGUCGAACGGUGAAGGGACCGGUUUUUGCUGGUUCUGGAUGAGUGGCGAACGGGUGAGUAACACGUGAGGAACCUGCCCCCUUCUUCUGGAUAACCGCAUGAAAGUGUGGCUAAUACGGGAUAUUCUGCGCCUGCUGCAUGGUGGGGGUGGGAAAGAUAUUGUUUCGGGGGGGGAGGGGCUCGCGGCCUAUCAGCUUGUUGGUGGGGUGAUGGCCUACCAAGGCGGUGACGGGUAGCCGGCCUGAGAGGGUGGACGGUCACACUGGGACUGAGACACGGCCCCGACUCCUACGGGAGGCAGCAGUGGGGAAUAUUGCACAAUGGGCGCAAGCCUGAUGCAGCGCCGCCGCGUGAGGGAUGGAGGCCUUCGGGUUGUAAACCUCUUUCGCCAGUGAAGCAGGCCUGUCCCUUGUGUGGGUGGGUUGACGGUAGCUGGAGAAGAAGCGCCGGCUAACUACGUG
RNAcentral lists this ribosomal RNA (493 nucleotides) under uncultured bacterium. RNAcentral's name for it is "partial 16S ribosomal RNA". It matches the Rfam family "Bacterial small subunit ribosomal RNA", at positions 28 to 507 of the family's 1533-position model. The record is from RNAcentral.